CUCAUUUUGGGUGUUCUGGGUGAACACUAGUGCAUUGCUUGCCUAAAUGUUAAUUUUAGAAGACCAGCUGCAGCUGCUUCUGUCACUUCAGAUAAAUGUAUCCGCUCAAACUGGACAGCAGCAGAUAUGAGAUGCACAUCUUACCAGAGACACGCAGUAGAUGUGGAAGCUGUAGUCGUGGUCAGAUCAGACACAGAGAUCCACGAGUCUGUCUGUCUGAUGGAUGGCAUCCGUGAAACUCCUCUGUUAAGGAACUGGAGAAAAUACUGUUUGGAGGGAAGAGGAGCUGAAAUCAUGUGGAUGAAGAGUGGCCCAACCUUUACCUGGGUGCUGCUAUGUCUGUGGCUAAUGAUGGGUUCAGUGUGUGGAAGCUGGGCAUCACUCGCGUUCUGAACGCCGCUCAGGGAAAGAUGCACUGCCACGAGUUUUACGGCUCAACAGUCGAUUAUUACAGAGUCCCAGCCGAUGAUUCGCCAUCGGUGCGAGUCGCUCGGCGUCUCUGGUUCUGGCUCAUCUCAUGAUACACCAGCAUCUUUCUCUACUGGAGGCUAUUAAAGCGGUCAAACAGCACCGCUGGAUCUUCCCAAACCGAGGCUUUCUCAAACAGCUGCGGGCUCUGGAUGUGACUCCACACCGUACGGAACGCAACACACUGUACAUAAACACCAACAACAUUCCAGCAUCACCAGCCUGUGUGAGACCGUCUUUAAUAAAGGGGUUUUGCAGCACUGCCAGAAGAACCUUUUCAGUGAACAGUUCUUAAAAGAACCAUUUUUUUAGUGUGAAGGUUAGUUUAGUCAUCUAAAGAACAUUUAGAUUGACCUUUUGUUCAAUGGAAAGGUUCCAUGGAUGUUAAAGGUUCUUUAUGGAACCAUCAAUGACAAUAAAGAACCUUUGUUUUUACGAGUGUACCGGAGAUGUUAGCACACCUCAAGUCUCAUGUUUUAGAAGUAAAAUGUAAUAAAUUACUUAAUAAUUUUACAGUUAACUUUAGGUAUUCAAUUACUUGGUAAAAAUGUAGAUAAUUCGGAGAUUUAUUGUAUAUAAUUUUAAUAUCUUUACUAUAAAAUGUGUUUUAACUCCAUUUAUAUAGUGAAAAAUAAAAGUCCCUGCAUGUUCCUUUUUUUUUGUUUUGUAUUAAAAAAAAUAAUUUAAUUAAAUUUUUGGUGUAUUGGGGUGAUUUGUUAU
RNAcentral lists this long non-coding RNA (1188 nucleotides) under Sinocyclocheilus anshuiensis. RNAcentral's name for it is "lncRNA (ENSSANG00000043105.1)". Lineage: Eukaryota; Metazoa; Chordata; Actinopteri; Cypriniformes; Cyprinidae. The record is from RNAcentral.